AGCGAACGCUGGCGGCAGGCUUAACACAUGCAAGUCGAGCGGGCAUAGCAAUAUGUCAGCGGCAGACGGGUGAGUAACGCGUGGGAACGUACCUUUUGGUUCGGAACAACUGAGGGAAACUUCAGCUAAUACCGGAUAAGCCCUUACGGGGAAAGAUUUAUCGCCGAAAGAUCGGCCCGCGUCUGAUUAGCUAGUUGGUGAGGUAAUGGCUCACCAAGGCGACGAUCAGUAGCUGGUCUGAGAGGAUGAUCAGCCACAUUGGGACUGAGACACGGCCCAAACUCCUACGGGAGGCAGCAGUGGGGAAUAUUGGACGAUGGGCGCAAGCCUGAUCCAGCCAUGCCGCGUGAGUGAUGAAGGCCCUAGGGUUGUAAGGCUCUUUUGUGCGGGAAGAUAAUGACGGUACCGCAAGAAUAAGCCCCGGCUAACUUCGUGCCAGCAGCCGCCGUAA
RNAcentral lists this ribosomal RNA (451 nucleotides) under uncultured bacterium. RNAcentral's name for it is "partial 16S ribosomal RNA". It matches the Rfam family "Bacterial small subunit ribosomal RNA", at positions 29 to 523 of the family's 1533-position model. The record is from RNAcentral.